ACCCGGGUGGCGAAAUCGGUAGACGCGAGGGACUUAAAAUCCCUUUGUCGAAAGGCAAUACGGGUUCGAGUCCCGUCUCGGGUA
This 84-nucleotide transfer RNA is filed under the name Gemmatimonadota bacterium. RNAcentral describes it as "tRNA-Leu". It matches the Rfam family "tRNA". From Rfam's summary of the family: Transfer RNA (tRNA) molecules are approximately 80 nucleotides in length. Their secondary structure includes four short double-helical elements and three loops (D, anti-codon, and T loops). Lineage: Bacteria; Pseudomonadati; Gemmatimonadota. The record is from RNAcentral.